Molecule: unclassified non-coding RNA, 1685 nt
Filed under: Hevea brasiliensis (rubber tree)
Lineage: Eukaryota; Viridiplantae; Streptophyta; Magnoliopsida; Malpighiales; Euphorbiaceae
Source: RNAcentral
CUUAUUCCUGCGCAAACCGACUCAAACCAAUCGGAUGCUAUAAGCUUCCGCGGUCCUCAACCCUGUACCCUGGUCUCUUUCUUAAGGUCAGGGUUCUUUGGGACAUUAUCCCAAACACCUGGAUCCUCUGUUUUUCUCAAAUUCAUCAUUUCACGAUGGCCGACGCCUUUGAAUUGGAGGACGUUCCCGAUUCUUUUCUCUGUUGCAUUUGUCUGGAUCUUCUAUACAAACCUAUAGUGCUCUCUUGUGGUCACAUGUCCUGUUUCUGGUGUGUCCAUAAAUCCAUGAAUAGUCUACGAGAGUCCCAUUGUCCAAUUUGUAGGCAUCCAUAUAAUUACUUUCCAUCCAUCUGUGAGAUGCUGCACUUCUUGCUCUUGAAGAUGUAUCCCAUUGCCUAUAAGAGAAGGGAAGAACAAAUUCUAGCGGAAGAAAAAGAAAUGGCCUUGUUUUCACCUCAAUUUGAUUGCAAUGCAUGUCGGUCACAUGCCAAUCAAGAAUAUGGUCACCUGAGGGAUCCUGAACGUGCCUCAACUACUAGUUUGGAGCCCAACUCAUGCUCAGAGUCUUGUUCCAGCAGCAAACGAGAGCCUAAUGGAAAUUGCAAGAUGGUGUCAAUCACUGAUGUACAGUGCACAGCAUGCAAGCAACUGCUUUUUCAUCCAGUUGUCCUCAACUGUGGCCAUGGGUAUUGUGAGGCUUGCAUCCUGGCUUCAGUUGAUAAGGGGCUUAAAUGUCAGACGUGUCAAUCUCUACACCCAACUGGUUUUCUAGAAGUCUGUUUGGAGCUUGAUCAUUUUGUGGAGAAACAAUUCCCUAAAGAGUAUGCCUUGAGAAGAGAUUUUGUCCAGCUAAAACAGGCAUGCAUUGAGGUUGAGAAACAGACUACUUGUUCUAGAAGAGCUAGUAAAAAAAUUUCUCUUAUUUCAUCUGUGCCAAAGGAAGAGCAUUUGCUACAGGGGGCUAAUCCUACCGAGUUAAAGGUUCACAUUGGUGUUGGCUGCGAUUCUUGUGGGAUGUAUCCUAUAAUAGGGGAUAGAUACCAAUGCAAAGAUUGUGUUGAAAAAAUUGGUUUUGACCUUUGUGGAGACUGUUAUAAUACUCGCUCCAAGCGUCCUGGGAGGUUCAAUCAGCAGCAUACACCGAACCACAAGUUUGAGCGUAUAAAGUCCAGCUUUCAUCAUGUACUAAUGAGGCUGGUGAGUGACCAGUUUGAGGAUGUUUCUGUUGCUUUAACUGACUAUGAUGAUCCUUCAGAAGUUGCGGAAAAUGAAUCCCCCAUCUCCCCUUUGUCUGCUGACACUCAUGAGAGUACCAGAAAUAGUUUGGAUACUUCUGUUAUCCAAACCGAAGGUGCAGAUGAUCAAAAUGAGACCGAAUCAACAAUUUGAAUUUUCCCCAUUUGCGAUUGCAUUGGGUUUGGCUGUGUUGGUUUAUCAAAUCAUACCCAAAGAAGAACAAGUUUGCCAUGUUUCAAUGUAUAGUUUGGUACAUUUCUCGCCGUCUCGUAUAUUCACGGCUCCUAUAAAAUUACGUGAUCAUACGUUCUUGUUUUGUAGCCCUAAUUAGGUAUUGGCAUUUGCUUUGCCAUGCCUUAAUGUACUAAACAUCCUUCUUUCUGCAUGGUUUAUCUAUUUGGGCUUGUACGAUCCUUGGAUUUGCUUUAUAUCUUAUUCACUUUUUUUUUU